GUUUCAGCCGCCGCGGUAAGACAGAGGGUGCAAACGUUGUUCGGAAUUACUGGGCGUAAAGCGAGUGUAGGCUGUCUCAUAAGUCAGGUGUGAAAGCCCCGGGCUCAACCCGGGAAGUGCACUUGAAACUGCGAGGCUAGAGUAUCGGAGAGGUUGGUGGAAUUCUCGGUGUAGAGGUGAAAUUCGUAGAUAUCGAGAGGAACACCGGUGGCGAAGGCGGCCAACUGGACGAAUACUGACGCUGAGACUCGAAAGCGUGGGGAGCAAACAGGAUUAGAUACCCCUGUAGUCC
RNAcentral lists this ribosomal RNA (292 nucleotides) under uncultured bacterium. Its description in RNAcentral is "partial 16S ribosomal RNA". It matches the Rfam family "Bacterial small subunit ribosomal RNA", at positions 505 to 796 of the family's 1533-position model. The record is from RNAcentral.